This 83-nucleotide transfer RNA is filed under the name Ameiurus melas (black bullhead). RNAcentral describes it as "tRNA-Ser". The stretch from base 7 to 75 matches the Rfam family "tRNA", at positions 8 to 63 of the family's 71-position model. From Rfam's summary of the family: Transfer RNA (tRNA) molecules are approximately 80 nucleotides in length. Their secondary structure includes four short double-helical elements and three loops (D, anti-codon, and T loops). The record is from RNAcentral. Lineage: Eukaryota; Metazoa; Chordata; Actinopteri; Siluriformes; Ictaluridae.
GUUUUUUGGCCGAAAGUGGUUAAGGCGAUGGACUUGAAAUCCAUUGGGGUUCUCCCGCGCAGGUUCAAAUCCUGCCAACUACG